RNAcentral lists this ribosomal RNA (491 nucleotides) under uncultured bacterium. RNAcentral's name for it is "partial 16S ribosomal RNA". It matches the Rfam family "Bacterial small subunit ribosomal RNA", at positions 29 to 506 of the family's 1533-position model. The record is from RNAcentral.
AGUGAACGCUGGCGGUAGGCCUAACACAUGCCAGUCGAACGGCAGCACAGUAAGAGCUUGCUCUUACGGGUGGCGAGUGGCGGACGGGUGAGGAAUACAUCGGAAUCUACUUUUUCGUGGGGGAUAACGUAGGGAAACUUACGCUAAUACCGCAUACGACCUACGGGUGAAAGCAGGGGAUCUUCGGACCUUGCGCGAUUGAAUGAGCCGAUGUCGGAUUAGCUAGUUGGCGGGGUAAAGGCCCACCAAGGCGACGCUCCGUAGCUGGUCUGAGAGGAUGAUCAGCCGCACUGGAACUGAGACACGGUCCAGACCCCUACGGGAGGCAGCAGUGGGGAAUAUUGGACAAUGGGCGCAAGCCUGAUCCAGCCAGACCGCGUGGGUGAAGAAGGCCUUCGGGUGGUAAAGCCCUUUUGUUGGGAAAGAAAAGCAGCAGGUUAAUACCCCGCUGUUCGGACGGUACCCAAAGAAUAAGCACCAGCUAACUUCGU